UACGUAGGUGGCAAGCGUUGUCCGGAAUUAUUGGGCGUAAAGCGCGCGCAGGUGGUUUCUUAAGUCUGAUGUGAAAGCCCACGGCUCAACCGUGGAGGGUCAUUGGAAACUGGGGAACUUGAGUGCAGGAGAGAAGAGUGGAAUUCCACGUGUAGCGGUGAAAUGCGUAGAGAUGUGGAGGAACACCAGUGGCGAAGGCGACUCUUUGGCCUGUAACUGACACUGAGGCGCAGAAGCGUGG
RNAcentral lists this ribosomal RNA (241 nucleotides) under uncultured bacterium. Its description in RNAcentral is "partial 16S ribosomal RNA". It matches the Rfam family "Bacterial small subunit ribosomal RNA", at positions 524 to 764 of the family's 1533-position model. The record is from RNAcentral.